GGAGUGGUAGCUCAGUGGUCAGAAUGUUGGGGUUUCUGAUCAGAAGGUCAUGGGUUCAAAUACCAGCAACACCA
Non-coding RNA from Ameiurus melas (black bullhead), 74 nucleotides. The record is from the annotation of a GenBank genome assembly. Lineage: Eukaryota; Metazoa; Chordata; Actinopteri; Siluriformes; Ictaluridae.